GCCAAACAAAAAAGGUUUUUUCAGCAUUAUCUGUUUAAAUUUUUCAACAUAUUUAUAAGCCAUUUGUUUUUCUUUUUUAAUUUUCUGUUCAAGUUCUUUACCCAUUUUAAACAUUUUUUGAUAUAUAUCUUUUUUCCAUUAAUUGAUAAGAAUUGUUUAAACAGGAAAAAUCAACAUUUUGUCACAUAUGCUACAAAUAUUUUUCAUGUGACUGAAGACUUUAAUUAUUUUACAAGUAUUAGGGGAAAUAAAGCAAGACAGAGACUUCCCUGAAGAACUCACACAUAUGCUUCAAAAGAAAGCCAGUGUUUUUGUUGCCAAUCAGUGUUGGCCUGAGGAGUAGCAGCAACCAAGGUGGGAAGUCCAUUUGCACAUGAGCUAACCUGCCAUCUUUUCUAUCAAAUCCAACCACAGACAAGGCAAGAACUUCGAGAGGUGAGAGGAAAUAAAAGAAAUGGUUUCACCCCUUGCUCUGAGGUGCUGGUGGGAAGAGAAUGUGAAGCCUCCUGCAGGAACAUGGAAGAUGGGUCCUGCGACAAGGAGGGAGAAAGUCCACUAAAAGAAAUAAGGACUCCUUGGAGAAUUGACUGAUUCCUGCUCACUACAAGUAGAAAGAAUCCCUCUAACCUCUGAAUCCUCAUGGUGCUGUACAUUCAUUUAGUGGAAAUAACAGUACCCUGCUCUAUGCCAAGGCUAUCAGGGUUAUCUCUGUCAACACCAGUGAUUUUAGAGAGAAUGACAAAUAUAGAAGAUGUGGAAGACAAGUACUGGACAUGUCCUGAUCAAGACAAAUAUUGA
RNAcentral lists this long non-coding RNA (798 nucleotides) under Sus scrofa (pig). RNAcentral describes it as "lncRNA (ENSSSCG00070010733.1)". Lineage: Eukaryota; Metazoa; Chordata; Mammalia; Artiodactyla; Suidae. The record is from RNAcentral.